UGGGGAAUAUUGCACAAUGGGCGAAAGCCUGAUGCAGCGACGCCGCGUGAGGGAUGACGGCCUUCGGGUUGUAAACCUCUUUCAGUAGGGACGAAGCGCAAGUGACGGUACCUGCAGAAGAAGCACCGGCUAACUACGUGCCAGCAGCCGCGGUAAUACGUAGGGUGCGAGCGUUGUCCGGAAUUACUGGGCGUAAAGAGCUCGUAGGCGGUUUGUCACGUCGUCUGUGAAAUCCUAGGGCUUAACCCUGGACGUGCAGGCGAUACGGGCUGACUUGAGUACUACAGGGGAGACUGGAAUUUCUGGUGUAGCGGCGGAAUGCACAGAUAUCAGGAAGAACACCGAUGGCGAAGGCAGGUCUCUGGGUAGUAACUGACGCUGAGGAGCGAAAGCAUGGGUAGCGAACAGG
Molecule: ribosomal RNA, 409 nt
Filed under: bacterium
Lineage: Bacteria
Description: partial 16S ribosomal RNA
Rfam family: Bacterial small subunit ribosomal RNA
Source: RNAcentral